This 1421-nucleotide long non-coding RNA is filed under the name Neogale vison (American mink). RNAcentral's name for it is "Neovison vison (American mink) lncRNA (ENSNVIG00000006592.1)". The record is from RNAcentral. Lineage: Eukaryota; Metazoa; Chordata; Mammalia; Carnivora; Mustelidae.
CAGGAUGCUGCAGUUAAUGUCCUCCAUCUACGUACGUGGGUCUGUAUGCACACAUACACACUCCUAGACCUGAUUGCUGGAUGAGACCUUGUGCAUCCUACAACCUGUGAUCGAUUACUGCCAGAGUGCCUGCACUUUACGCUCUCAUCAUCUGCAUGUGAAAGGGACUGAAGGAAGGCCAUCUGAGUACGUGGGGCCCUACCUGUGUUCUCCGUGCACCACACUCAGGUUUGGGAAGAGAAGAGAACUUUGGAGCAAGGAAUGUAUUCACUUAAGCUUGAGAUGGAAGGUGUCUCCUCUGCCAUGGUGUCAGCGGGACCCAAAAGUGUCCCCACACUUCCCAAGCCUCUGGUGCUUCGCCUGCAGAAUGGGAAUGAAAAUACUGCCGUGCCUGCUGCGCAGGGAGCUGGAAAAGCCACGUGGGCUCAUGCUGGUUCACAACAAGGAGGGUCUGGGACUGCGGCCUUCCUUGGAAGCUGACCAGGGAGCCUGCUGGUUCCGCGGCUGCCAGUGGAAGACACCAGACUCUCAGGUCAGAGAUGAAGGACUGUGCUCCUCACGGCUCUAGCAGGGGGCAGGAGGCAGCGUUUCUUACCCCCAUCCCCAAACCCCAGGUCCCACAGGGCCAUAUGAGGCCUGCCCGAGGGACAGGACCCUGAGUUCAGGAAGCCCCCUGCGUUGACCCUGGGCAGUGAGCCCAUCCGAGCUCUGCCCCACAGGGACAUAUUCUCUUCCUUCUCCUGUGCAGUAAACAGACCUGCCUUAUGUGCACACAGCGCUGCUUCUGUCUUCCUAGGCUGGUCACUCUGCAGACACCCGCUGGUGCCAAGCAACGUCCAGAACAAAGUAGUCAGCCCAUCUGUGGGCACACGGGACAGAAGGGCAGGAGACCCGUGGGGAAUUGUCUCCCCACAAAAGGGCUGUGUGAAGGGUGACCGGGGGACACAUAGAGGAUCCUACUUCAUUGACUCUGGAAAUUGCCCCGAGAGGAGGGCAGGAGAGGCGGAAAUCACCAUUUUACCACUUGUCUGGCUUGGGAGCCUGGGGUAGGAAGGGGUUAAGUAUUUGCUCAGGGCCCCCCAGCCCCUUGGUGAACUGGCAUGUCUAACACUGAGAAGUCUAGACUCCAGGCCACUGGCAAGCUGGUCUCUCAUUCAUUCAUCCCCACUACAAUCUACAAAUUGUAACGCCUGGGAGCACUCGGCAGUCACCGCCGUUAGAAUAUUCUGAAGCUUCCAAGUCAGAGCUCAUUUGAAAACAGGUGAUAUGGGCACGAAAUAAGUGGGCUCUGUUCUGGGUUAUCAGAAUGAUUUGUGGGGUUGCCCUGACCUGCCAACUUUCGUGUCAGAGGGAUAAUCGAGAGCUCACAGACACCCAGGAGCAGUCAGGCCCCAGGGGGAUGUGCGAGGUGAGCCUGCCUG